CUUGGUCAUUUAGAGGAAGUAAAAGUCGUAACAAGGUCUCCGUUGGUGAACCAGCGGAGGGAUCAUUACCGAGUUUACAACUCCCAAACCCCUGUGAACAUACCACUUGUUGCCUCGGCGGAUCAGCCCGCUCCCGGUAAAACGGGACGGCCCGCCAGAGGACCCCUAAACUCUGUUUCUAUAUGUAACUUCUGAGUAAAACCAUAAAUAAAUCAAAACUUUCAACAACGGAUCUCUUGGUUCUGGCAUCGAUGAAGAACGCAGCAAAAUGCGAUAAGUAAUGUGAAUUGCAGAAUUCAGUGAAUCAUCGAAUCUUUGAACGCACAUUGCGCCCGCCAGUAUUCUGGCGGGCAUGCCUGUUCGAGCGUCAUUUCAACCCUCAAGCACAGCUUGGUGUUGGGACUCGCGUUAACUCGCGUUCCUCAAAUUGAUUGGCGGUCACGUCGAGCUUCCAUAGCGUAGUAGUAAAACCCUCGUUACUGGUAAUCGUCGCGGCCACGCCGUUAAACCCCAACUUCUGAAUGUUGACCUCGGAUCAGGUAGGAAUACCCGCUGAACUUAAGCAUAUCAAUAAGCGGAGGA
Molecule: ribosomal RNA, 582 nt
Filed under: uncultured fungus
Lineage: Eukaryota; Fungi
Description: eukaryotic LSU rRNA
Rfam family: 5.8S ribosomal RNA (bases 217-370)
Source: RNAcentral